Pan troglodytes (chimpanzee) is the source of this 262-nucleotide long non-coding RNA. RefSeq lists it as uncharacterized. The transcript is spliced from 2 exons. NCBI's taxonomy places the organism in Eukaryota, Metazoa, Chordata, Mammalia, Primates, Hominidae. The record is from RefSeq and is a predicted model, not a curated record.
CUCAGAAGCCGUUAGCGCCACCAGGCUCCUUGCAGCUCAGGGAGCCCUGCCUGGCUAGGCUGUCCUGGCUGUGUGCUCUGCACUCAGGGCCCUGACCUCCCCGGAAAAACAGGCAGGACACGUGCCCAGGCCUGUAGGCUGCUGCUGAGUUUGGGCCUGUGAGGUGGGGGGAAGGAAGCUGGCUGCUUUCUCAGAUUCUGUUCCACGGCUUCUGCGUUUCUGGGAGUUCCUCAGAAUGGGCUUCCACCCAACAGACUUGGAA